Molecule: long non-coding RNA, 3870 nt
Filed under: Homo sapiens (human)
Lineage: Eukaryota; Metazoa; Chordata; Mammalia; Primates; Hominidae
Description: non-protein coding lnc-F13A1-2:2
Source: RNAcentral
CGGGGCUCCCAGCCGGUAAUGGGAGGCCUGGAGGGGGAUGGACUUUAAAAAGGAAGCAGAAAGGCCAGGAGGACGAGCUUCACUGGAGGUGGGUAAGUUUUGUUUCAGACCUGUAGGGCUGAAAGUGUUGACGAACACCUGGGAGAAAAUGUCCAGUCACCGUCACUGCAAAUGCGGGUCCGACCUUCAGGAGAGGGAUUUGGACUGAAGAUGUGGGUAGGAGCACCCUCUCUUAGACAAGAAAAAUUGAGACUAAGAGGAGAUGAGAUCGCUGGGGGAUCAUAAUUAAGUAAAAACUUGUAUCUCUAAAAUCCGUCCUGACAUUUUCAUUUAUAGGAUAUACAUAUGUAUGUAUCUGUUAUAAUCUGAAAUGUGUCCCUCAAAAUUCAUAUUUGAAGCCCUAACCUCCUCAUACCUCAGACUGGGACUGUAUUUGGAGAUGAGGCCUUUAAAAAGAUAAUUAAGGUAAAACGAAGGCAUUAGAAUGGGCUCUAAUCCAAUAUGUCAGGAGUCCUUAUAGGAAGAGGAGAUGAGGACACAGACACCCACAGAGGGAAGACGGUGUGAGGACACAGGGAGAGGACACCAUCUGCAAGCCCAGGAGGGAGGCCUCAGGAGAAACCAAUCCCGCCCACACCUGGAUGUGGGGCUUCCAGCCCCCAGCACUGCGAGGGAAUAAAGCUCCGUUGUGUAAGCUGCCGCAUCUGUGGUAUUUUAUUAUGGCAGCCCCAGCUACUAAUACAGUACCCCUACCGAUACAUACAUAUUUACCCACAUGUAGCCACACACAUGUGCACAUAUGUAAUCUUUUUGCCUAUAAAAAAGUAAGCAAUGCCUAAAAGUACAGGUGGAGAGAAGGCUAAAAAGCACAGGCUCGAAGAGACUGCCAAGAUACAACGAUCCAACAAAGACACAUCGUAUCAACAGUAAUGAUUUCCUAAAUGUGAAGGUAAUUUGGAUGGCUGGUUUAUAGUUUUCAUGCCCGGGAGUUUUCCAAGGCACAAUGUAUACCCUUUGCGGCAGCUUACUCUCCUGAAAUGUGCCUUCAUGAAAUUAGAUAAACAGGGAGAAGAUAUGAAGUACAUCUGCCUAACACCACGUUAGAAGAAUCCCCGGGCAUUUGCAUCUUAUGCGAUGAUAUGCUGGCAAACCUUGGCCAACUUCCAGUCUUGUCCUUAUGACAGGGGACUGCUGUGUUGAGUUCCCGUCUCAGGCCUCACAUCCACCUUGGCCCUGCCUUGGGAGCCUGUAGGUGUGGGCAGAAAAGAGGGACGCUGCCUUCCUGGCUGGGCCUUUCUUCACACACAGGCACGAGGACCCAAGCUCUAAAGGAUGAAGUCCCCAUGGUCUCCGAAGUUUUCAUUAUCAUCCCCCUCCUAAAGCUCCACCUUGGAGGCAAUGCACUGUAACAAAAGGACCAGCACAGUGCCCAGCACACAGAAAGCUAUCAAUCAAUGUCAGCCUUAACCAUUAUGUUGGUUGACUUGCCAUCCCUCUUCCUCAACUGCAAACUAUGUGAGAGAAAGAUUCAUGUAACCUUGGUAUUACACAACUCCAUCGUGGUGGGUUCAGUUGCAUUUGUCAAAUGAUUCAGAGUAGGACAACGGGAAUUUUCUUUACAACAUCACAGCAUUGUAAAGUCUUUGCUUUGCACGAAAGUGUGGGACUGAAGAAAUGAUUGUGCAGGUUGAAACUGUGAAGCAAUUUUAAGAAGCAACAAGGAAAAUUAUGAUUGUUUCAUAAUCUUCAAAAAAUUUUUAAAGUGUUAAGAACUGUUUUACUACUGGUCGUAAAUGUAUAAGAACAUUUAAAGAUAGCAAAUUGAAUACUUAUUUAGCCUGUCAUAAUUUAAAAAAUGAGAAACAUUGAGAAAUAGUGUUUUAUUUCUUUGUAAAAGACUUAUGGAGAGUAAAUUGAAAAGGGCUUUGCCACCUUCUCAUUGUGAAACUUACAGUAUGGACCAGGCAUCUUUUCUAUGCCUUGGCAAAUUGUCACAUUCCUUUCUAUAUUUGGAUAGGCUUCCUACAUUUUGUCCUGCACACUUUCAGUGCUGUGAAAUAUCUCCAAGAGUUUCUUUAAUAUGAAGUUUUUGCCAGCAUCUUUAUCCUGAGUCCCUCAAAAGACACAUCCAGAAUCUCUCAAAAGACAACAGCAUCAACUUUCCCACCAUCAGCUCUUUCUUCUCUAAACUCGUUUACGUCUGAGUCAACUUUCACCUCCUGCAUUCUCACUUUUUGUUUCUUUGCUAUACUUUCCUCUUCAUUGGCUACCUACCUCUCUUGAGUAUUCAUUUCUGUGAAAUGUCACGUGGGUUUGUCACUGGGAGCCAAGAGAGCAGCACGACCACACGCUUUGCUGUCUGUGUGGGAACUGAUAACACGGAAGGACUGAAGGACGUGAUGCGGUUAAUCACUGAUCAUGAUGCACAUCUGUUAUUACGUGGUGGUCUGUGGACUGCAGAGCAAGCAGCAGAGGUUGUCCCCCAUGCAAUCACUCACAGUUAAUGGUGACUGAAAUUGGAACCAUGUUGUUAGGGGGCUGGUGUUAUUUAACCUCAGUUGCCACAGGGCAAUGAAAAUUCGUGCGUUUGGGAACUAUGCAAGGUGAGGACUGCCUGAAUGUUCCAUAAUGUGAUGAGUGCCUCACAAACAGGGUGUAUAUUAUCACUGAGUUUUUUCAUUAUUCUUGACCUUCAAUAUAUAGACAUUCUUGUUGAUGGUAUCAGGUUGUUUCUGCGUGAAUGAGCUUUACUCCUCUGAGAAAUGGCAUUCCUGACCCUCCUCUUUGAAUCAAUUGCACAAAAGUAUCUGAAGGAAAUUUGCUUACCUGCUGCUUUCUAUGGAAGCUUUCCUGCAGCAUGACCUAGUGUCUGUUUCUGGUUGAUGAUUAACCAUGGGGAACAAGCGUUUGAGAUAAAGAAGUUGCAGAACUUUUUAGAGAAUGUAAUAUGUUAAUGUGCACUGGGACUCUCCCUGAGCUAUAUCAAGUUUCCUGGAUUCUGAAAUGCUAUAAUUUUAAAAGUGUCAUAAGGUUAAAACAGCUUUCUAAGAAGUGCCUUUGUUGGAAGAAUACCCAGGAAUGGUGCGCUGGACAGCUUUUGUACAAGUCUUGCAUUUUCUCAGAACUAUCUCUCAUCUUGGCCAUGGCAUCAGUCACAUCCUGAGUGGCUCACCUUGACUUGGGUUGCCUCCUACUGCAGUUCUCCUAAACUCUGGUGGGGGACACGGGCACAACCCACCCAAUACUCGUAUGUGCUUUACCUGGAAAUAAGGAGCAGAGGAGCUAGGGGAAGGAGCCGAUGGCUAAAUGUUCCUGCCUUUUUUCCCUCAGGCAGACAGUUCUAAGGUGCACGCUGUAGGUUGCUGGGACAACCCUGGCAAGAUCUUCCCCCAGACAUCCACCUUGGCGGCCGACUUAUUAACUCAUUGGUCUAUUGACUUUUGCUCCUUGCCUCGCCCCUGAUCCCUGUGCCCUCUUUCUAAUAAGCUACCUGCUGGUGAGGCUCUGCCUUGGGGGAAACCCAGGCUGAGGCAGGUGGGAUGUUAUAACCAGGGAGGCCUGAGUCCUGGGUCUUUGCCUGGGGUCCCCAAAUAGGAGAGGGAUUGGAGGAGGUAUUGUGGGGGAGAGUGUUGCAAAAGCCCAGAGGAAAGGAGUGCUGUUACCACAACAGAGGAGACAUGAACCUGCACAGACCAAAAACAGGAGAGAGAGAGGGAAAGAGAAAGAGAAGGGGGAGAAAGAAAGGGAGAGACAGAGGAAGGGAGAGAUGGGGAAAGAGGAGAGGAGAAAGGGAGGGAGAGAAAGAAAGGAGAUGGAGAGAGAAAAGGGUGGGGAGAGAGAUAAAGAGAGAGGUAAAGAGAGAGAGAGAAU